RNAcentral lists this ribosomal RNA (336 nucleotides) under uncultured bacterium. RNAcentral describes it as "bacterial SSU rRNA". It matches the Rfam family "Bacterial small subunit ribosomal RNA", at positions 1 to 334 of the family's 1533-position model. The record is from RNAcentral.
CUAGCGACUUCAGAGUUUGAUCCUGGCUCAGGAUGAACGCUGGCGGCAUGCCUAAUACAUGCAAGUCGAACGAGAUAUCUUCGGAUAUCUAGUGGCGAACGGGUGAGUAACACGUAGGUAACCUGCCCAUGUACCUGGGAUAACUGCUGGAAACGGUAGCUAAAACCGGAUAUGUGUAUUUCUCGCAUGAGAGAUACAUGAAAGCACCUUAUGGGUGUGGACAUGGAUGGACCUGCGGCGCAUUAGCUAGAUGGUGAGGUAACGGCUCACCAUGGCGAUGAUGCGUAGCCGACCUGAGAGGGCGAACGGCCACAUUGGAACUGAGACACGGUCCAA